This 61-nucleotide microRNA precursor is filed under the name Cricetulus griseus (Chinese hamster). RNAcentral describes it as "miRNA (ENSCGRG00000020262.1, ENSCGRG00001008252.1)". Lineage: Eukaryota; Metazoa; Chordata; Mammalia; Rodentia; Cricetidae. The record is from RNAcentral.
GUGUAUACUGGGGGGUGGCUGCUGUGUCACUCAGAGCUGACUCAGAGCCACCUCCUCACAG